This 531-nucleotide ribosomal RNA is filed under the name uncultured bacterium. RNAcentral's name for it is "bacterial SSU rRNA". It matches the Rfam family "Bacterial small subunit ribosomal RNA", at positions 777 to 1304 of the family's 1533-position model. The record is from RNAcentral.
AAUAGAUACCCUGGUAGUCCACGCCGUAAACGAUGGGUGCUAGAUGGUGGGGGGGAGCGACCCCUUCGCUGUCGUAGCUAACGCGUUAAGCACCCCGCCUGGGGAGUACGGCCGCAAGGCUGAAACUCAAAGGAAUUGACGGGGGCCCGCACAAGCGGUGGAGCAUGUGGUUUAAUUCGAAGCAACGCGAAGAACCUUACCUGGGUUUGACAUGCACGUGAAACUCCUUGGAAACAGGGAGCCUCCUUCGGGACACGUGCACAGGUGCUGCAUGGCUGUCGUCAGCUCGUGUCGCGAGAUGUUGGGUUAAGUCCCGCAACGAGCGCAACCCUUGACUUUAGUUGCCAGCAAGUAAGGUUGGGCACUCUAGAGUGACUGCCGGUGACAAACCGGAGGAAGGUGGGGAUGACGUCAAAUCAUCAUGCCCCUUAUGACCUGGGCUACACACGUACUACAAUGGCCGGUACAACGGGAAGCGAAGGAGCGAUCUGGAGCGAAUCCUUUAAAGCCGGUCUCAGUUCGGAUUGCAGG